UACGUAGGGUGCAAGCGUUAAUCGGAAUUACUGGGCGUAAAGCGUGCGCAGGCGGUUGUGCAAGACAGAUGUGAAAUCCCCGGGCUCAACCUGGGAACUGCAUUUGUGACUGCGCGGCUGGAGUGCGGCAGAGGGGGAUGGAAUUCCGCGUGUAGCAGUGAAAUGCGUAGAUAUGCGGAGGAACACCGAUGGCGAAGGCAAUCCCCUGGGCCUGCACUGACGCUCAUGCACGAAAGCGUGGGGAGCAAACAGG
Molecule: ribosomal RNA, 253 nt
Filed under: uncultured bacterium
Lineage: Bacteria
Description: partial 16S ribosomal RNA
Rfam family: Bacterial small subunit ribosomal RNA
Source: RNAcentral